AGACAUUUUAACUAAACUCAAGUAUAUACUUUGAAAGUAUAAGAUAGGAUACCCCUAAAUGUCUA
RNAcentral lists this transfer RNA (65 nucleotides) under Ornithodoros turicata. Its description in RNAcentral is "tRNA-Ser". The record is from RNAcentral. Lineage: Eukaryota; Metazoa; Arthropoda; Arachnida; Ixodida; Argasidae.